RNAcentral lists this ribosomal RNA (492 nucleotides) under uncultured bacterium. RNAcentral's name for it is "partial 16S ribosomal RNA". It matches the Rfam family "Bacterial small subunit ribosomal RNA", at positions 29 to 507 of the family's 1533-position model. The record is from RNAcentral.
AGUGAACGCUGGCGGUAGGCCUAACACAUGCAAGUCGAACGGCAGCACAGUAAGAGCUUGCUCUUACGGGUGGCGAGUGGCGGACGGGUGAGGAAUACAUCGGAAUCUACUUUUUCGUGGGGGAUCACGUAGGGAAACUUACGCUAAUACCGCAUACGACCUACGGGUGAAAGCAGGGGAUCUUCGGACCUUGCGCGUUUGAAUGAGCCGAUGUCGGAUUAGCUAGUUGGCGGGGUAAAGGCCCACCAAGGCGACGAUCCGUCUCUGGUCUGAGAGGAUGAUAAGCCACACUGGAACUGAGACACGGGCCAGAAUCCUACGGGAGGCAGCAGUGGGGAAUAUUGGACAAUGGGCGCAAGCCUGAUCCAGCCAUACCGCGUGGGUGAAGAAGGCCUUCGGGUUGUAAAGCCCUUUUGUUGGGAAAGAAAAGCAGCAGGUUAAUACCCCGCUGUUCUGACGGUACCAAAAGAAUAAGCACCGGCUAACUUCGUG